CCCAAUUUGCUCAAGGCCCAAACCAGCAUAAAAAAACCAAUACAGAAACAUAAUAAUAAAAUCAAAUCCCAAUUAAAGCAAAACCAAUAAACAACAAAUGUCCACAGUCCAAAUUAUGAAAUUACAAACCCAUUUACAACCAAUCAAAACCCAAGACCCUAGCCCAAAUAACUCAACUAAACCCUAACCCCAAAAGGGCUCAAAACCUUAAAAUUUGCAGCAGAAAAAAAGAGAGGAAUCCUAAUACUGCCGCCUCCACCUCCACGUCGAUGUUCCCACGUACAGCCUCCGUACCUCUGUACCUGCGAAGAAGACAAACACAACAGACAUAGAGAAAUCGUAGCAAAAAAGAGAGCAAAACAAACGAAAUAUAUUCGGUUAUAAAAGGCUACAAGAAUCAUUAUGUAUUUUUUUACACACACAUGAGUAUAACAACCGAAAACAGAAAAGAAAUGAAAAAAGGUGAUUUUCGUUUCAUAUUUUUCUAUUGAUUUUAAUGCGGACACUGGACCAAAAAGGGGUAAGGGUUUUUUUCUCUCGAUUUUUCUUAGGCGGAGAAGGUUUGGCCUUCAAAUCCAUUUAAAAAGGGGGUCUGAAACACCCUGUUUUGUGCGACUCAGGCCAUAGGCCACGAUGGAGGUAGAGGCGCAUCAGACACCGAUGAAACCCACAAGCCGGGCAAGGGGGCUUGAGAGAGUUGAGAGAAAAAGAGGUUUUUUGAAUUUUUUUU
RNAcentral lists this long non-coding RNA (730 nucleotides) under Gossypium barbadense (sea-island cotton). Its description in RNAcentral is "long non-coding RNA (GBAR_LNC007522)". The record is from RNAcentral. Lineage: Eukaryota; Viridiplantae; Streptophyta; Magnoliopsida; Malvales; Malvaceae.